Molecule: small nucleolar RNA, 138 nt
Organism: Ornithorhynchus anatinus (platypus)
Lineage: Eukaryota; Metazoa; Chordata; Mammalia; Monotremata; Ornithorhynchidae
Source: RefSeq, a predicted model, not a curated record
CCCCUCCAAGGGUCACAAAUGGAGAGUUUCCAGUACUCUACCAGUCUCAACUGCGGGAGGGAAAGUCAAGCAGAGGCAUAUCUAUUUCAUUCUUAGCUUGGGCAGUGGCUAGCGAGUGGAAGGCAAUCUGCUACAAGU